Molecule: ribosomal RNA, 487 nt
Filed under: uncultured Methanobrevibacter sp.
Lineage: Archaea; Methanobacteriati; Methanobacteriota; Methanobacteria; Methanobacteriales; Methanobacteriaceae
Description: bacterial SSU rRNA
Rfam family: Archaeal small subunit ribosomal RNA
Source: RNAcentral
UGUGAGAGCAGAGCCGGAGAUGAACCUGAGACAAGGUUCCAGCCCUACGGGCGCAGCAGGCGCGAAACCUCCGCAAUGUGAGAAAUCGCGACGGGGGGAUCCCAAGUGCCAUUCUUAACGGGAUGGCUUUUCUUAAGUGUAAAAARCUUUUGGAAUAAGAGCUGGGCAAGACCGGUGCCAGCCGCCGCGGUAACACCGGCAGCUCUAGUGGUAGCUGUUUUUAUUGGGCCUAAAGCGUUCGUAGCCGGUUUGAUAAGUCACUGGUGAAAUCCUGUAGCUUAACUGUGGGAAUUGCUGGUGAUACUGUUGAACUUGAGGUCGGGAGAGGUUAGCGGUACUCCCAGGGUAGAGGUGAAAUUCUGUAAUCCUGGGAGGACCACCUGUGGCGAAGGCGGCUAACUGGAACGAACCUGACGGUGAGGGACGAAAGCUAGGGGCGCGAMCCGGAUUAGAUACCCGGGUAGUCCUAGCCGUAAACGAUGCGGAC